UGACCCGGACGUGAUUCGAGCACGCAACCUUCAAAUCUGGAGUCAGAUGCGCUGCCGUUGCGCAACCGAGCC
Molecule: transfer RNA, 72 nt
Filed under: Araneus ventricosus
Lineage: Eukaryota; Metazoa; Arthropoda; Arachnida; Araneae; Araneidae
Description: tRNA-Trp
Source: RNAcentral